Molecule: transfer RNA, 77 nt
Filed under: Burkholderia sp. Bp9125
Lineage: Bacteria; Pseudomonadati; Pseudomonadota; Betaproteobacteria; Burkholderiales; Burkholderiaceae
Description: tRNA-Met
Rfam family: tRNA
About the family: Transfer RNA (tRNA) molecules are approximately 80 nucleotides in length.
Source: RNAcentral
GGCGGGUAGAGGGAGCCGGUUAACCCAGCGGUCUCAUAAGCCGUUUCUACGCGGUUCAAUUCCGUGUCCCGCAACCA